Camelus dromedarius (Arabian camel) is the source of this 685-nucleotide long non-coding RNA. RefSeq lists it as uncharacterized. NCBI's taxonomy places the organism in Eukaryota, Metazoa, Chordata, Mammalia, Artiodactyla, Camelidae. The transcript has 2 exons. The record is from RefSeq and is a predicted model, not a curated record.
GUGAUCCAUGCGGCCAUAAUCUCCCCAGACAAUGAUCUGUUGGCAAAAUAAGGAGAGUAAGCUUCCCAAGAAUUGCAGCUGUUCGGAAUGGAAAGGAAUGUGAGAAGACAAGAUGUGGGGAAUAGAAGUUUGACUCCACCAAAGCACUUCCUUAGGUGAGGAAUAUAUAUUUCAGUAAAAUACCUGUAAAACCUUUCCUUGGGGACUUUCUUCAAAAGAUAACAGCUGCUGGUAAAGGGGUUCCAGCGUCUUUCUUGCCACUUUUGUUUUCUUUUUGGCGAUGCAGACUCCAUUAUCUAAUAGAUACACCUUUACAUAGGGUGCUUGGGAGAGAAAACAGGAGACAUAAGUGAUGAGCUACUGUCAUGGCACCCCCAACUUACGGGCAAAGUGACACCUGCAACAGCUUAGUCUUAGGCUGAAAGAGCUGGCAGUCACAUCACUGGCCUUUUCCACGUUAUGUCACAGUCAUAAAACAACAGGUCACUAGCAGCCGUUCAGGGAGUUUCACACAAUGUUAACCUAGCCUCUCGGUGGAUUACUACUUUGGCAUCAGCUGGUUAUACAGAUUUGAACUCUGCAUUGAAAAAAGGUGAAAUGCUUCCAGUCCCCUAACCAUAUUCAAGAAGAAUGUCUUACUCAGUUUUUCAUUUGUCAAUACUUUAAUUAAACAUGCUUAAAAGUU